Molecule: ribosomal RNA, 1672 nt
Filed under: Escherichia coli
Lineage: Bacteria; Pseudomonadati; Pseudomonadota; Gammaproteobacteria; Enterobacterales; Enterobacteriaceae
Description: partial 23S ribosomal RNA
Rfam family: Bacterial large subunit ribosomal RNA
Source: RNAcentral
UAGGUAGCGCCUCGUGAAUUCAUCUCCGGGGGUAGAGCACUGUUUCGGCAAGGGGGUCAUCCCGACUUACCAACCCGAUGCAAACUGCGAAUACCGGAGAAUGUUAUCACGGGAGACACACGGCGGGUGCUAACGUCCGUCGUGAAGAGGGAAACAACCCAGACCGCCAGCUAAGGUCCCAAAGUCAUGGUUAAGUGGGAAACGAUGUGGGAAGGCCCAGACAGCCAGGAUGUUGGCUUAGAAGCAGCCAUCAUUUAAAGAAAGCGUAAUAGCUCACUGGUCGAGUCGGCCUGCGCGGAAGAUGUAACGGGGCUAAACCAUGCACCGAAGCUGCGGCAGCGACGCUGAUGCGUUGUUGGGUAGGGGAGCGUUCUGUAAGCCUGCGAAGGUGUGCUGUGAGGCAUGCUGGAGGUAUCAGAAGUGCGAAUGCUGACAUAAGUAACGAUAAAGCGGGUGAAAAGCCCGCUCGCCGGAAGACCAAGGGUUCCUGUCCAACGUUAAUCGGGGCAGGGUGAGUCGACCCCUAAGGCGAGGCCGAAAGGCGUAGUCGAUGGGAAACAGGUUAAUAUUCCUGUACUUGGUGUUACUGCGAAGGGGGGACGGAGAAGGCUAUGUUGGCCGGGCGACGGUUGUCCCGGUUUAAGCGUGUAGGCUGGUUUUCCAGGCAAAUCCGGAAAAUCAAGGCUGAGGCGUGAUGACGAGGCACUACGGUGCUGAAGCAACAAAUGCCCUGCUUCCAGGAAAAGCCUCUAAGCAUCAGGUAACAUCAAAUCGUACCCCAAACCGACACAGGUGGUCAGGUAGAGAAUACCAAGGCGCUUGAGAGAACUCGGGUGAAGGAACUAGGCAAAAUGGUGCCGUAACUUCGGGAGAAGGCACGCUGAUAUGUAGGUGAAGUCCCUCGCGGAUGGAGCUGAAAUCAGUCGAAGAUACCAGCUGGCUGCAACUGUUUAUUAAAAACACAGCACUGUGCAAACACGAAAGUGGACGUAUACGGUGUGACGCCUGCCCGGUGCCGGAAGGUUAAUUGAUGGGGUCAGCGCAAGCGAAGCUCUUGAUCGAAGCCCCGGUAAACGGCGGCCGUAACUAUAACGGUCCUAAGGUAGCGAAAUUCCUUGUCGGGUAAGUUCCGACCUGCACGAAUGGCGUAAUGAUGGCCAGGCUGUCUCCACCCGAGACUCAGUGAAAUUGAACUCGCUGUGAAGAUGCAGUGUACCCGCGGCAAGACGGAAAGACCCCGUGAACCUUUACUAUAGCUUGACACUGAACAUUGAGCCUUGAUGUGUAGGAUAGGUGGGAGGCUUUGAAGUGUGGACGCCAGUCUGCAUGGAGCCGACCUUGAAAUACCACCCUUUAAUGUUUGAUGUUCUAACGUUGACCCGUAAUCCGGGUUGCGGACAGUGUCUGGUGGGUAGUUUGACUGGGGCGGUCUCCUCCUAAAGAGUAACGGAGGAGCACGAAGGUUGGCUAAUCCUGGUCGGACAUCAGGAGGUUAGUGCAAUGGCAUAAGCCAGCUUGACUGCGAGCGUGACGGCGCGAGCAGGUGCGAAAGCAGGUCAUAGUGAUCCGGUGGUUCUGAAUGGAAGGGCCAUCGCUCAACGGAUAAAAGGUACUCCGGGGAUAACAGGCUGAUACCGCCCAAGAGUUCAUAUCGACGGCGGUGUUUGGCACC